Molecule: ribosomal RNA, 817 nt
Filed under: uncultured Bacteroidota bacterium
Lineage: Bacteria; Pseudomonadati; Bacteroidota
Description: bacterial SSU rRNA
Rfam family: Bacterial small subunit ribosomal RNA
Source: RNAcentral
UACGGAAGGUCCGGGCGUUAUCCGGAUUUAUUGGGUUUAAAGGGAGCGUAGGCCGGAGAUUAAGCGUGUUGUGAAAUGUAGACGCUCAACGUCUGCACUGCAGCGCGAACUGGUUUCCUUGAGUACGCAUAAAGUGGGCGGAAUUCGUGGUGUAGCGGUGAAAUGCUUGGAUAUCACGAAGAACUCCGAUUGCGAAGGCAGCUCACUGGGGCGCAACUGACGCUGAAGCUCGAAAGCGCGGGUAUCGAACAGGAUUAGAUACCCUGGUAGUCCGCGCGGUAAACGAUGGAUGCCCGCUGUUGGGCCAACUGGUUCAGCGGCCAAGCGAAAGCAUUAAGCAUCCCACCUGGGGAGUACGCCGGCAACGGUGAAACUCAAAGGAAUUGACGGGGGCCCGCACAAGCGGAGGAACAUGUGGUUUAAUUCGAUGAUACGCGAGGAACCUUACCCGGGCUUGAAUUGCAGAGGAAGGAUUUGGAGACAAUGACGCCCUUCGGGGCCUCUGUGAAGGUGCUGCAUGGUUGUCGUCAGCUCGUGCCGUGAGGUGUCGGCUUAAGUGCCAUAACGAGCGCAACCCCUCCCCUUAGUUGCCAUCAGGUCACGCUGGGCACUCUGGGGACACUGCCACCGUAAGGUGUGAGGAAGGUGGGGAUGACGUCAAAUCAGCACGGCCCUUACGUCCGGGGCUACACACGUGUUACAAUGGCAGGUACAGAGAGAUGGUGUUCUGCAAAGCGCAUCAAAUCCUUAAAGCCUGUCUCAGUUCGGACUGGGGUCUGCAACCCGACCCCACGAAGCUGGAUUCGCUAGUAAUCGC